UACGUAGGGUGCAAGCGUUGUCCGGAUUUAUUGGGCGUAAAGAGCUCGUAGGCGGCUUGUCGCGUCGACUGUGAAAUCCCGAGGCUCAACUUCGGGCUUGCAGUCGAUACGGGCAGGCUAGAGUUCGGUAGGGGAGACUGGAAUUCCUGGUGUAGCGGUGAAAUGCGCAGAUAUCAGGAGGAACACCGAUGGCGAAGGCAGGUCUCUGGGCCGAUACUGACGCUGAGGAGCGAAAGCGUGGGGAGCGAACAGG
RNAcentral lists this ribosomal RNA (253 nucleotides) under uncultured bacterium. RNAcentral describes it as "partial 16S ribosomal RNA". It matches the Rfam family "Bacterial small subunit ribosomal RNA", at positions 524 to 776 of the family's 1533-position model. The record is from RNAcentral.